RNAcentral lists this unclassified non-coding RNA (329 nucleotides) under soil metagenome. RNAcentral's name for it is "partial contains 5.8S ribosomal RNA, internal transcribed spacer 2, and large subunit ribosomal RNA". The stretch from base 1 to 120 matches the Rfam family "5.8S ribosomal RNA", at positions 35 to 154 of the family's 154-position model. The record is from RNAcentral.
GAUGAAUAACGCAGCGAAAUGCGAUAAGUAAUGUGAAUUGCAGAAUUCAGUGAAUCAUCGAAUCUUUGAACGCACAUUGCGCCCCUUGGUAUUCCGAGGGGCAUGCCUGUUCGAGCGUCAUUAUAACCCCUCAAGCUCAGCUUGGUGUUGGGGCCUGCUGCACUGGCAGCCCUUAAAAUCAGUGGCGGCGCCAUCUGGCUCUAAGCGUAGUAAUUCUUCUCGCUAUGGAGUCCUGGUGGAUGCUUGCCAUCAACCCCCAAUUUUUCUAUGGUUGACCUCGGAUCAGGUAGGGAUACCCGCUGAACUUAAGCAUAUCAAUAAGCGGAGGA